Molecule: transfer RNA, 76 nt
Filed under: Podarcis lilfordi (Lilford's wall lizard)
Lineage: Eukaryota; Metazoa; Chordata; Lepidosauria; Squamata; Lacertidae
Description: tRNA.Ile
Source: RNAcentral
GGAUCGCUCAGUUGGUUAGACUGUGGUGCUGAUAAUGCCAAGGUUACAGGUUUGAUCCCUGUACGGGACAGCUGCA